GACGAACCGUGCGAACGUUGUUCGGAAUCACUGGGCUUAAAGGGCGCGUAGGCGGGCUGCCAAGUCUGUGGUGAAAUCCUCCAGCUUAACUGGAGAACUGCCGUGGAUACUGGCGGCCUCGAGGGUGAUAGGGGUCGGUGGAACUGUGCGUGGAGCGGUGAAAUGCGUUGAUAUGCACAGGAACUCCGGUGGCGAAGGCGACCGACUGGAUCACUUCUGACGCUGAGGCGCGAAAGCUAGGGGAGCGAACGGGAUUAGAUACCCCGGUAGUCCUAGCCCUAAACGUUGAGAACUAGCUAGUAGGCUUGACAUGGGCUUACUGGCGAAGCAAAAGUGCUAAGUUCUCCGCCUGGGGAGUAUGGUCGCAAGACUGAA
This 375-nucleotide ribosomal RNA is filed under the name uncultured bacterium. RNAcentral's name for it is "bacterial SSU rRNA". It matches the Rfam family "Bacterial small subunit ribosomal RNA", at positions 524 to 898 of the family's 1533-position model. The record is from RNAcentral.